UGGCGGACGGGUGAGUAACGCGUGGGUAACCGGCCUCAUACAGGGGGAUAACAGUUAGAAAUGACUGCUAAUACCGCAUAAGACCACAGCACCGCAUGGUGCAGGGGUAAAAACUCCGGUGGUAUGAGAUGGACCCGCGUCUGAUUAGGUAGUUGGUGGGGUAACGGCCUACCAAGCCGACGAUCAGUAGCCGACCUGAGAGGGUGACCGGCCACAUUGGGACUGAGACACGGCCCAA
RNAcentral lists this ribosomal RNA (238 nucleotides) under uncultured bacterium. RNAcentral's name for it is "partial 16S ribosomal RNA". It matches the Rfam family "Bacterial small subunit ribosomal RNA", at positions 96 to 334 of the family's 1533-position model. The record is from RNAcentral.